UCCUUUUGAGAGCAUUUGUGGUUAGAAGCUCCUGAUCUGUGAGGCAGUGAUAGAGGAGAACCUGGCCUUCUCUUUCCUCCUUUACCUUCUUCUUCAGGUGCUUUGCUUUUGACAGAGCUUCCUUAAGUUCAUUCGGAGGUGCAGACAGCUCUUGAGUCACCUGAACCCCCUUAGAAGUAGAGCCUUCACCCCUUUGCGGUGUCUUUUCUCUACGGUUUGCUCGG
This 224-nucleotide long non-coding RNA is filed under the name Elaeis guineensis (African oil palm). Its description in RNAcentral is "long non-coding RNA (EGUI_LNC058943)". The record is from RNAcentral. Lineage: Eukaryota; Viridiplantae; Streptophyta; Magnoliopsida; Arecales; Arecaceae.